GAUGAACGCUGGCGGCGUGCCUAAUACAUGCAAGUCGAGCGAACAGACGAGGAGCUUGCUCCUCUGACGUUAGCGGCGGACGGGUGAGUAACACGUGGAUAACCUACCUAUAAGACUGGGAUAACUUCGGGAAACCGGAGCUAAUACCGGAUAAUAUAUUGAACCGCAUGGUUCAAUAGUGAAAGACGGUUUUGCUGUCACUUAUAGAUGGAUCCGCGCCGCAUUAGCUAGUUGGUAAGGUAACGGCUUACCAAGGCAACGAUGCGUAGCCGACCUGAGAGGGUGAUCGGCCACACGGGAACGGAGACACGGUCCAGACGCCUACGGGAGGCAGCAGUAGGGAAUCUGCCGCAGUGGGCGAAAGCCUUACGGAGCAACGCCGCGUGAGUGAUGAAGGUCUUCGGAUCGUAAAACUCGGUUAUUAGUGAAGAACAAAUUUGGAAGUAGCUAUGCACGUCUUGACGGUACCUAAUCAGAAAGCCACGGCUAACUACGUG
This 497-nucleotide ribosomal RNA is filed under the name uncultured bacterium. RNAcentral's name for it is "partial 16S ribosomal RNA". It matches the Rfam family "Bacterial small subunit ribosomal RNA", at positions 28 to 507 of the family's 1533-position model. The record is from RNAcentral.